This is a long non-coding RNA of Cyprinus carpio (common carp), 281 nucleotides long. RefSeq lists it as uncharacterized. The record is from RefSeq and is a predicted model, not a curated record. Lineage: Eukaryota; Metazoa; Chordata; Actinopteri; Cypriniformes; Cyprinidae. The transcript is spliced from 3 exons.
AGUACUUCCACAACAACACCCAAGGACAGUGUGGUGUCUGUGGUGGGCAGUCGUGUAUACGAAGAAACGGUGUAGUUGAAGAUGACAGCUGCUGUGAUAAGACUGCAUAUGACUGGUUUGUAGAAGACCCUCUGAAACCCUACUGCAAAUCUGUGCUCCCCAAUGUUCCUUGUGGCCCUCCAACUUCACCUUCACCUCAACCACCCUGCGAUCCUACAAUAUGUGACCUACUUCACCAUGAAGUGUUUGCGGAGUGUGGUAAAAGGAUCAGUCUUACGUCC